Molecule: ribosomal RNA, 440 nt
Filed under: uncultured bacterium
Lineage: Bacteria
Description: partial 16S ribosomal RNA
Rfam family: Bacterial small subunit ribosomal RNA
Source: RNAcentral
CCUACGGGAGGCAGCAGUGGGGAAUAUUGCACAAUGGGGGGAACCCUGAUGCAGCAACGCCGCGUGGGUGAAGAAGUACUUCGGUAUGUAAAGCUCUGUCAGCAGGGAAGAAAAUGACGGUACCUGACCAAGAAGCCCCGGCUAACUACGUGCAAGCAGCCGCGGUAAUACGUAGGGGGCAAGCGUUAUCCGGAUUUACUGGGUGUAAAGGGAGCGUAGACGGCAAGGCAAGUCUGGAGUGAAAGCCCGUGGCUCAACCACGGGACUGCAUUGGAAACUGUGUUGCUGGAGUGCAGGAGGGGUAAGCGGAAUUCCUAGUGUAGCGGUGAAAUGCGUAGAUAUUAGGAGGAACACCGGUGGCGAAGGCGGCUUACUGGACUGUAACUGACGUUGAGGCUCGAAGGCGUGGGGAGCAAACAGGAUUAGAUACCCCAGUAGUC